RNAcentral lists this ribosomal RNA (439 nucleotides) under uncultured bacterium. Its description in RNAcentral is "partial 16S ribosomal RNA". It matches the Rfam family "Bacterial small subunit ribosomal RNA", at positions 339 to 795 of the family's 1533-position model. The record is from RNAcentral.
CUACGGGUCGCAGCAGUAGGGAAUACUGCACAAUGGAGGAGACUCUGAUGCAGCAACGCCGCGUGGAGGAUGACACUUUUCGGAGCGUAAACUCCUUUUAUAUAGGAAGAAGAUGACGGUACUAUAUGAAUAAGCGCCGGCUAACUCCGUGCCAGCAGCCGCGGUAAUACGGAGGGCGCAAGCGUUACUCGGAAUCACUGGGCGUAAAGAGCGUGUAGGCGGAUUAAAAAGUCAGAAGUGAAAUCCUAUAGCUUAACUAUAGAACUGCUUCUGAAACUCUUAAUCUAGAAUAUGGGAGAGGUAGAUGGAAUUUCUGGUGUAGGGGUAAAAUCCGUAGAGAUCAGAAGGAAUACCGAUUGCGAAGGCGAUCUACUAGAACAUUAUUGACGCUGAGACGCGAAAGCGUGGGGAGCAAACAGGAUUAGAUACCCCAGUAGUC